RNAcentral lists this long non-coding RNA (923 nucleotides) under Oncorhynchus kisutch (coho salmon). RNAcentral's name for it is "lncRNA (ENSOKIG00005031701.1)". Lineage: Eukaryota; Metazoa; Chordata; Actinopteri; Salmoniformes; Salmonidae. The record is from RNAcentral.
AUAAACCUUUUUAAAGAAGUUGGCUGCUUUUAUAUUAGACUGCGGGUGUUUCAGACUGUGUGAAAAGAGGUUGCUAUUUGAAAGAGCUUCCACAGAUACUGUUGGUUGGAUAAGGAACAUGCAUUCUGAAAUGACAGAUUUCGACUCCUUGGACACAAACAAUAACAAAAGUUUCUUUGGAAAAUUAAAGAACCUACACAGUGGGCCUCCAACUCCACCCAAAAUGAUAGGUGAGCCUUCAGGAAAUCCCCCUCAUUAUGCUAUUGGGAAUAUAUGGUUCCUCUUUAUGGAAGUUAUAGUGUGAAGUGCUUAUUCUGCUCUCUCUCUCUCUCUCUCUCUCUCAUAUGACUAUACUUCUCUUGUCCUCCAUUUCUCUCUCUCUUAUUCCAUUCCCGUCUCUACUUUCUCUCGCUCUCUAUUUCUUUGUUUCAGAGAACAAUGCGGGGUAUGGUGGGUGGCCAGAAGAUGAGUUUGAUGAAGAGGAUGGGGACACAUAUGAGGUGCCCCCCUGUGAGAGACCCGCAUUGAAGGUUCCUUCCAGACAUGUGGAGGAGAAUGUCUAUUUGGAGAGGACGUCAGAGCGGUCCAAUCCUGUUCUCCCCAAAAGGCAGGCAGCUGCACCCCCAAGGCCAGCCAUGAUGGCGCCCAUGGGCAAAGCAUUGAAACAGCAGCCUCAACCUGAGGAGUUCUACAUUGACCCCAACACCAAGAAACGUGAGACUUCCCCCUCUCUUUCCUCCGCUCGUAUAUCUUCCUAUUCUCCCCUCUCUCUAUACUCUUAUCCUCCUUCUAUCCUCCCCUCUCCCUAUCCUCCCCUCUCUCUAUCCUCCUAUCCUCUGCUCCCUAUCCUCCUAUCCUCUGCUCCCUAUCCUCCUAUCCUCUGCUCUCUACCCUCCCCUCUUAGUCCAGGACAUCCUAUUUGA